This 415-nucleotide long non-coding RNA is filed under the name Zostera marina. Its description in RNAcentral is "long non-coding RNA (ZMAR_LNC005282)". Lineage: Eukaryota; Viridiplantae; Streptophyta; Magnoliopsida; Alismatales; Zosteraceae. The record is from RNAcentral.
AUUUAUUACAUGUUUGCCACUAUAGAUCCUACGUAAUCCUUUAUAUAAAAAGAAAUAUCGACCGUUCGCUCGUUCAGGAAUGUAAUCAAAUUUCGAAACUGUUAAACACGUGGCAUUAUGUACGGUUAAGUUUUAGUUUUACUGAUACCAUGUUAUGUUAGUCAACAAAAUUCAACUAAAUAGGUCGGUUGAAUUUAACCCAACUAUAAACAUGCAAUUAAUCUCCACAUUAAUUAUACUCCUCUAUUCUGAUACCACGUUGGAUUAUUAGUCAAUAAAUUAUAAUCAAGUAAUCACAUGAAAGUUCAUUGAACCUAGUCCAAUAAUUCAUUCAAACCAACUCAUACCCACACCAAUGUAAAGUUUCAAAUACAUUUUGAUACCACGCGCAUCAGACAAAAUCUUAUUAUCUUUU